GGAAAGUCUUGGUCCUGCAGAAUCCAGGGCUGUAAAUUGGAAAACUUCUCCAUGUGUGCUCCUUCCUCAGAAUAGCCUGGCAUCAUUCCUUCCGUUGCUCCCAGGCACUCAGGAUUGGGCAAGUCCAUUACAUCUGCCACAAGGACCAGCAGCACCCUGCCAGCACAUCUUGACCUUACCCUUCCACUGCCCCAAGCCUUCUAAAUGCACAACAACAACAACAAAAAAAAAAACCCUCAAGAGUAAGUAUCUUCACACUGAAGUAAAUCUAUCAGCCAGCGUUGCUGUGUCUCUGCAUGGAGUGAUAUACACAGAUGGCUCCAUUUCCUCCUCCUCCAGACUGGAAUCUCAGCUGGAUACAGGAAGACGUGAGCUUUCUUAAAAUCCCCUCAGCAUCCCCUUUAUACAAAGCUGGCAGCUGCUCCUCAGUGAGUACUCACACAUUUUAAGGUAUCUUUUGAAUGGUACAAAAGAUUGAAAAAAAACAAAAAACAAACAAAAAAACCACCAACCACUACCAUAACUAAUCCAAGGUCUCUCAAGACACUCAUUACAACUUGUUUCAACCAAUGUCUUUUCAAAUGAGUGCACCACUUUCCAUGGUAAACCUGCACUUCCAGGCUAGAGGACAAAGCUUGAAAGAGCAGCAAACAUAAUCAAUUAUGCUUAAUGGAAAGGUGAUUACACAUAGCUCUUUACUUUUUAAGUCAGUUCUGGAGAUACAAGUUUACUGAAUAGCGUGUGUGUAGGAAAGGAG
RNAcentral lists this long non-coding RNA (757 nucleotides) under Numida meleagris (helmeted guineafowl). Its description in RNAcentral is "lncRNA (ENSNMEG00000013153.1)". Lineage: Eukaryota; Metazoa; Chordata; Aves; Galliformes; Numididae. The record is from RNAcentral.